Fopius arisanus is the source of this 2276-nucleotide long non-coding RNA. RefSeq lists it as uncharacterized. The record is from RefSeq and is a predicted model, not a curated record. The transcript is spliced from 2 exons. NCBI's taxonomy places the organism in Eukaryota, Metazoa, Arthropoda, Insecta, Hymenoptera, Braconidae.
CAACGUAAUUUAUCGCCAAUUGCUCUAUCCUAUUUUAUACAGAGAGAGAUAUGCAAGAAAAAAUUUAAACCGGGUAACCUGAGAAUUCAAGAGGUGUCUUGUAAAAUUGAACAAGAUCACAUUGAAAAAAAAAUCCCAUUACUCCUUAUAUGUUUUAUGAUUAAAAAUAAAAAUUAACAUUGGAUGUUUCUCCACUGGGACUAAAUUCUAACCUCUCUCCAGUCCUCGACCGUCAAUGAAUUCUCGUCUCUAAUUAUUGUGGAAAAAAUAAUUUUUUUAUUCACAAUUAUAAAAGCACAUUUUGGAUAGAGAAAAAAUAUUGGCAGAAGAAUAGAGAGAUGUCAUUAACGAAGAAAACAACUCCGAAUUUGCGAAGCAAGCGAUUUAAGUACUCCGAAUCCAUGGUGAACGCCAUUGAUGCGGUCAAAAAUGGAGGAACCCUCAACAAUGGCGUAUUAGCCUACAACGUUCCAAAAUCGACGUUACACUCCAGAGUGACAGGAAAAAUUAUUGGAAAAGGAAAAAUGGGACCAAAGUCUAUUCUCACUGAAGACGAAGAGGAGGAUUUGAAGCGUUGGAUCUUAGAAAAAGCCCAGGUUGGAUUUCCAAUGCAUGCAGAUGAGGUGAAAGACGCCGUCCAGAAAAUUCUUCUCGAAUCACCAAGAGAAAACAAAGAUAAUUUUUUGUAGCAUUUUUUUUUUUUAAAACAUUGAUGGCUUGGCAUUUUCUCAAGAUUCACAUGUGGGGAUUGAAAGGAAUAAACAUUAUAAUUUUUGCAUAGAGCUCUUUUAUUUAUAAUAGUGCAACAGGCUGACGUCAACAAAAAACAAGUCUUAUUUAUCACACACAUAAGACAAAUUCAAUCAUCGUCACCCCAUUUAUUUCCAACACACAAAACACAUUUUCUAUUGGUUCGUUUCUCAUCCAAGGGGCUACGAAAUAAAAAUUAUUUAUCAUUACGAGAACAUUUUCUCACCAAUUCUGUACAAUUUCAAUGUUUACAUAAUAAAAAUAGUAAAACGAUGAUGCAGAAUAGAAUAUAAUAUCGUCGCUUCACAAAAUUAAUGGAGAAGACGUUAAUUCGAGAUUGCUAGAAAAAAACUUUGGUCAUUGUAUUUUUUUCAUUUGAAAUUAUUAAUUAAAAAGAUUAAAAUAAUUUUCGCGACUAUUACAGCAUUAACCGCGAAUGAGGAAUGUGAUAAAAAUGAUUACACCAUUCGAUGUGUCUCAUUUCCUUGAUAUCGUCCAGCGGUUUUCCUAUACCCUGAUAAUUCGACUAAAAUGUAUACAAUAUAUAUUCUCUAUUCCUUCCAUUACUCAUUAUCCUCAGGCUACAUUGAACAAUUCGUCACCUGAUAUUAUGCAAUUAUUGUAAAAUUUCAUACAAUUAAUUAAUCAUUAAAAAAAAAAUGCAUAUACAAUCCUUUCGCAACAUAAACAAAAAACAGUUGAGAUAAAAAUAAUAAAAACCAAAUACCCUAGAUAAUUAUAGACAACGGUCUUUUUCAUCAGGAAAUUAUAGGAUAAAAUGUAACAAUUAACGAAGAUAGAUCUUAUGCACCAGAAUAAUUAAUAAUAAUUCAUGCUUGUGAUGAUAACCAAGAAUAAAAACAUUUCCCAAUUUCAUUGUUUUGGAUUAUUCAAAUAUUCGAGUUUCUUCAUUGAUCCUUCAUAUCGAUCAUGUUUUUUCAUUGCUUCAUUACUCAUGAUUAUUGUAAUAAGAAAAGUAAAACUUAACGAUGAUCUUGCAUACAUAAUAAAUUCGGUUUUUCAUCGUGUCUUGAUUUUAUUGAGACAGUCACAAAGUGAUGCAGUCUUCCUCCAAUUAAUUAUUUUUUUCUAAUCACUCAUUCGGUUGUGUUCAGCAUUAUUUUCAUCGAUUUAGAAAAACCCCUGUGAUCCAAUUUCUAAGUACGUCAAAUCAUUUUUUUUAUUGCUUCGAUAAAAUUCAUUCUUUGAUAAACAUUUCACUUAGCGGCAUCCAACAAUUAUUAUAACACUCAUUCAUAUUUUUUAUCGGCGGAAUAGAACAAUCAUUGAAUCGGUAACAUUGUAUGUACUGUUCAGUUGAAAAUAUGUGGUAAUAACAUGAGAUAAGGAAAUCGAAUAGAAUUUCAACAUCAAACUCGUAGAUUUUUUUUAGAAUUAAUUUUUACACUCACAAACGUGUCUUUAAUAUUCCACACAGAAAUUCCACAUUUUAGGAUAGGUGUAAUUUCAAUUAAAUUUUUAUACUCAAAGCCACAUCUAGAUCAUCCAGAUAGAAAAAAAAAAAA